GCGGUAGUGGCGAAAUUGGUAGACGCACCAGAUUUAGGUUCUGACGCCCUAGGCGUGUCGGUUCAAGUCCGACCUACCGCA
RNAcentral lists this transfer RNA (81 nucleotides) under Caudoviricetes sp. Its description in RNAcentral is "tRNA-Leu". It matches the Rfam family "tRNA". Rfam says of the family: Transfer RNA (tRNA) molecules are approximately 80 nucleotides in length. Lineage: Duplodnaviria; Heunggongvirae; Uroviricota; Caudoviricetes. The record is from RNAcentral.